GACGAACGCUGGCGGCGUGCUUAACACAUGCAAGUCGAACGAGGCGCUUGCGCCUAGUGGCGAACGGGUGAGUAACACGUGAGCAACCUGCCCCUGGCUCUGGGAUAGCCUCCGGAAACGGGGAUUAAUACCGGACAUGACCUCCUGCCGCAUGGCGGGGGGUGGAAAGUUUUUCGGCCAGGGAGGGGCUCGCGGCCUAUCAGCUUGUUGGGGGGGUAACGGCCCACCAAGGCGACGACGGGUAGCCGGCCUGAGAGGGCGACCGGCCACACUGGGACUGAGACACGGCCCAGACUCCUACGGGAGGCAGCAGUGGGGAAUAUUGCGCAAUGGGGGAAACCCUGACGCAGCGACGCCGCGUGCGGGAUGAAGGCCUUCGGGUUGUAAACCGCUUUCACCAGGGACGAAGCGAGAGUGACGGUACCUGGGGAAGAAGCGCCGGCUAACUACGUGCCAGCAGCCGCCGUAAUAC
RNAcentral lists this ribosomal RNA (472 nucleotides) under uncultured bacterium. RNAcentral describes it as "bacterial SSU rRNA". It matches the Rfam family "Bacterial small subunit ribosomal RNA", at positions 28 to 526 of the family's 1533-position model. The record is from RNAcentral.